GAUGAACGCUAGCUACAGGCUUAACACAUGCAAGUCGCGGGGCAGCAUGGGGGUUGCUUGCACUCCCCGAUGGCGACCGGCGCACGGGUGAGUAACGCGUAUCCAACCUGCCCUUCACCACGGGAUAACCCGGCGAAAGUCGGACUAAUACCGUAUGUUGUCCAUUGACGGCAUCCGAUUUGGACGAAAGGUUUGGCGGUGAAGGAUGGGGAUGCGUCCGAUUAGCUGGACGGCGGGGUGACGGCCCACCGUGGCGACGAUCGGUAGGGGUUCCGAGAGGAAGGUCCCCCACACUGGAACUGAGACACGGUCCAGACUCCUACGGGAGGCAGCAGUGAGGAAUAUUGGUCAAGGGGCGUAAGCCUGAACCAGCCAAGUAGCGUGCAGGAUGACGGCCCUAUGGGUUGUAAACUGCUUUUAUGCGGGGAUAAAGUGGCCCACGUGUGGGUUUUUGCAGGUACCGCAUGAAUAAGGACCGGCUAAUUCCGUG
This 490-nucleotide ribosomal RNA is filed under the name uncultured bacterium. Its description in RNAcentral is "partial 16S ribosomal RNA". It matches the Rfam family "Bacterial small subunit ribosomal RNA", at positions 28 to 507 of the family's 1533-position model. The record is from RNAcentral.